AACAACAGAAGAAAAAGAAGAAAGACAGAAGGAAAAGAAGAAGAAGGUCCUUGUAUCCUCCAACAUUGUACAUAUUCAUUCCCUUCUU
This 88-nucleotide non-coding RNA is filed under the name Fragilariopsis kerguelensis. Lineage: Eukaryota; Bacillariophyta; Bacillariophyceae; Bacillariales; Bacillariaceae. The record is from RNAcentral.